GGUGUGUUGGCUCAGUCAGUAGAGCGUCCGUCUCACAACCGGGAGGUCGUGGGUUUGAACCUCGGUCGCGUCA
This 73-nucleotide transfer RNA is filed under the name Strongylocentrotus purpuratus (purple sea urchin). It matches the Rfam family "tRNA". From Rfam's summary of the family: Transfer RNA (tRNA) molecules are approximately 80 nucleotides in length. Lineage: Eukaryota; Metazoa; Echinodermata; Echinoidea; Camarodonta; Strongylocentrotidae. The record is from Rfam by way of RNAcentral.